Manacus vitellinus (golden-collared manakin) is the source of this 1139-nucleotide RNA transcript. It is a transcript of the gene named vesicle transport through interaction with t-SNAREs 1B, with no coding region annotated. The transcript has 6 exons. The record is from RefSeq and is a predicted model, not a curated record. Lineage: Eukaryota; Metazoa; Chordata; Aves; Passeriformes; Pipridae.
CUGCUCUCUUGCCCACUCCCUUUUGAAAAGUUAUCAUAAGAAUAGGCUGUUCCUGUUUGAGUUAAAUUUUGACUUGAUGUCUCUGUAAUCAACCACCUGUAGCAGCUUCCUUGUUUUUAAUGGAUUGAGUUGGAGUUCUGUUGUCAUUUCUCUGUAGUUUAUCUGAUAUACUGCUUUUUCUUUCACAGAGGAGAAGAAAAAACUGGUUCGAGAAUUUGACGAUAAACAGCGCGAAGCCAAUGAGACGCUGCGUGAAAUGGAGGAAGAACUGAAGUAUGCUCCCCUGCCUUUCCGCAACCAAAUGAUGAGCAAAAUCCGAGCGUACAGAAGAGACCUGUCCAUGUUCCAGAGGGAGAUGAGAAGCACAGAUUUGGGAGUGGGCCAUGGAAGUCAAGGCGAUAUAAAAUAUGGAAUCUUCUCCACAGAAAACGAACAAAGUACUAAUCUGCAGUCACAGAGGGUGCUGCUUCUCCAGGGAACAGACAGUCUGAACCGAGCCAGUCAGAGCAUUGAGCGCUCGCACCGGAUUGCUGCUGAAACAGAUCAGAUCGGCACCGAUAUAAUCGAAGAACUUGGGGAGCAGCGGGAGCAGCUGGAACGCACCAAGAGCAGAUUGGUGAAUACAAGUGAGAACUUGAGCAAGAGUCGCAAGAUUCUACGUUCAAUGUCCCGGAGAGUAACCACUAAUAAGUUGUUGCUGUCAAUUAUCAUCAUCCUGGAACUGGCCAUCCUAGGAGGUGUGGUCUACUACAGAUUCUUCCGCAGCAGAUGAAUCUUCAUGAUGGAGAUGAACUUUUCCACUGUUGAGGAACAGGAUGGGCUGUCUGUUCCCUUUGAUUGUCUGAGGAUUGAACUGAGUGGUGAGACAGCACAUUCACCAGAAACUGUACUGACACUAAAAAGACAGAGAAUGGGAGUAAAAGGAAAAUGCAGAGACAGACUUGAACUACCGAAAGCCAGGGUGAAAGGCUGAACCACUGAUGUGCAUGGCAUCUAGGAUGGAGGAAGCACCAAGCUUGAGGAUUUCACUAACAGCUCAGCAAGAUGAGCAUUUUUCAGGUCCAUAGUUGAAGACUGCCUCCAAACUAUACCAUGUAGCCUAGUUGAUGAAGAAAUAAAGGAUAAUUUUUAACCUAAAA